GGAGUCAAGACUAUAUAACCACCACCUUUGUGGCUCGGAUACCAUGUAGAGAAUGACGGAUGCCACAACACCAGAACAAUCCGCUUCUCAAUUAGUGUGACAAUGCCACAUUAGCCCAAGACUCACGUGCAAAUAGAAAGAAGAAGAAGAACCAAGAUGAAAUAGAAGAAAAACUUCAUUAAAGAAAAACAUGGGGCACAAAAAGGCUCUACAAUAUCAAUACACAUGAUUAACCUUAAC
This 240-nucleotide long non-coding RNA is filed under the name Amborella trichopoda. RNAcentral's name for it is "long non-coding RNA (ATRI_LNC003878)". The record is from RNAcentral. Lineage: Eukaryota; Viridiplantae; Streptophyta; Magnoliopsida; Amborellales; Amborellaceae.